This 497-nucleotide ribosomal RNA is filed under the name uncultured bacterium. RNAcentral describes it as "partial 16S ribosomal RNA". It matches the Rfam family "Bacterial small subunit ribosomal RNA", at positions 28 to 507 of the family's 1533-position model. The record is from RNAcentral.
GGUGAACGCUGGCGGCGUGCCUAAUACAUGCAAGUCGAGCGAACAGACGAGGAGCUUGCUCCUCUGACGUUAGCGGCGGGCGGGUGAGUAACACGUGGAUAACCUACCUAUAAGACUGGGAUAACUUCGGGAAACCGGAGCUAAUACCGGAUAAUAUAUUGAACCGCAUGGUUCAAUAGUGAAAGACGGUUUUGCUGUCACUUAUAGAUGGAUCCGCGCCGCAUUAGCUAGUUGGUAAGGUAACGGCUUACCAAGGCAACGAUGCGUAGCCGACCUGAGAGGGUGAUCGGCCACACUGGAACUGAGACACGGUCCAGACUCCUACGGGAGGCAGCAGUAGGGAAUCUUCCGCAAUGGGCGAAAGCCUGACGGAGCAACGCCGCGUGAGUGAUGAAGGUCUUCGGAUCGUAAAACUCUGUUAUUAGGGAAGAACAAAUGUGUAAGUAACUAUGCACGUCUUGACGGUACCUAAUCAGAAAGCCACGGCUAACUACGUG